CCUCCAGUCUCUGGCGCCGACGCUACUCUAGGCAAAGCGCGAAGCACAUUGUUAAUCUUCUUCCCGAUAUCCAACAAUUGUUGGUCAUGACGUGCAAUUUGAGCACUCAAUUUGACUCGUACAGACUCCAACUUUGAAUCUGGUCUUGAAUCAGAUCUUCGAAUCUUGUUACUCAUGUCCGUCAAUUGUUCGUGAACUUCAGUUAACGACGCCGUCGUUUGCUCUGCCUCUAAUAUCUCCGUAAUCGACGGUAAUUCUGGUGUCGUCACCAUCUUUGAUUGAAAAAUUUCUUCGAUCUCUCAAAAACCCCACAUCAC
Molecule: long non-coding RNA, 317 nt
Organism: Arabidopsis thaliana (thale cress)
Lineage: Eukaryota; Viridiplantae; Streptophyta; Magnoliopsida; Brassicales; Brassicaceae
Product: other RNA
Exons: 1
Source: RefSeq